RNAcentral lists this long non-coding RNA (1706 nucleotides) under Gossypium barbadense (sea-island cotton). RNAcentral's name for it is "long non-coding RNA (GBAR_LNC006778)". The stretch from base 1199 to 1342 matches the Rfam family "MIR7502 microRNA precursor family". Lineage: Eukaryota; Viridiplantae; Streptophyta; Magnoliopsida; Malvales; Malvaceae. The record is from RNAcentral.
AUAUUUUUCUGUGUUCUUGAGUGCUUUCAUGGCACAAGAUCUCUCUGCAAAAUGAACAAAACCAAUUCUAUUUCUCUCUUGUCCGGGUUUUGCAGGAGGCAGAACCACUUUAGUUAUCUUUCCAUGAUGUUCAAAUAGCUUCUUUAGCUGAUCUUGUGUUACAUCCUUUGGCAAAUUCUUCACAUACACGGCCUUUACCUACAUAAGAUAGGUUACCUUAGAUUAACAAAUCCAAAAUAUGAUAAGGACGACACUGACGUUACCAACAUGCUAUAUGCAAAAGAAAGUACGCAUGUCAGCUUCAAAGGAAAUGAAAAAGGAACAAAGUCCUCAAAUGAGACAAGCAUGAAACGUAAACUACCAAAAGAACCCCGCAAGAAGCUAGAAAGUGAAAGAGAGCAACUUAACUAUACCUGAGAAGCAGCAGGAGAAUCAGCAUUCUUAGGAUCAGCCCAGCUCACACUUGGAGCAUUAUCACCAAGCCUGAAUUCCGUGUUCAUCAUCUUCUGCCUUGAAUACUCGGCACAUGCAUUGUUAUAAUACUCAACAAAGGCAAAACCCCUGUUACUACCUGAGUUCUUCAUAUCCUGCAAGCACGAAGCAAAUUCACAAUAUGACAUUACCACUAAACAUCCCCUUAGAGAUCACAAGUAACCAAUAAUCGGCAAAAAUGCACAAGGUCAUUAAACUAACCUUCACUAAUUCCAAACCUGUAACUCCAUGACCAACCUCUGACACAACCUUCCUCAAGUCUUCCUCCCCCCAAUUUCUCGGAAUAUUACCAAUAAACAACCGAUGUUUUGAUUGGGAUGUAGAACAUCUAAUUUUUCUACCCUGAGAGAGAAAGAUAGAAGCUACAAAGUUACUUAACAACCAAAGAAACAUGAAUGCCGUUAUCAGAAACAAAUAGAACACGGAAGCAGGAACUGCCUAUGAGAUAAUAGAAGACUUGUCACCUUAAAUUCGGCAUUAUUUAGCUCAUCAAUGGCUUUAGAGGCCAAUUCUACACUUCUAAAGGUCACAAAAGCAAAGCCCUUGUUUUCACUUGUAUCUUUACCUUUCAUAAUCCGAACCUACCAUAAUAAUUACGAUGUGUCAAUGUUUAUCUCGUGAAAAGAAAAAUAGGGUAAAAGGAUCAUGCACAAAAAUGAAUAAAUUAAUCCCUGUACAUUAAGCUAAAGAGCAAAUUGGUCAUUUCUAAUAAAAGUUUCAUCCAUUUAUACUGUUACAACUGGCAUGGCUGACAAAAUAAUUAAACAUUUACAUGUAGUGUGCCAUGUGUACCUUAUGUUGAUAUAUAAGGACCAGUUUUGAACCGUAAAAAUGAAUAAAAUUUUUAACAAAAGGAUUAGUUUGCUCUUUGAUCUAAUGUAUAAAAACUAUUUUGCCCAUUUUUUGAGUAGAAUGAGCAAAAUGUAAUCCUACUCUUAGCACAAGGGCUUCCAAGAUACUUUUACCAUAGUUUCUCACUAUAGCAAAAGAAAAUACCUCAGUAACCUCUCCAACAGAUUCACAAAAAUCCUUCAAAUCCUCUUGAGAAACAUCAUGUGGUAUGCCUCCAAUAUAUACUUCGGAACCAUGAGGAGGACGAGCAAGAAGCUCGGCACGUUUCUUCUUUUCAUCCUCACCUUCAGCAUCAUCAUCCCCAUUAGCAUUUUCGACAUCUUGAUCUUCCUCUUCUAUUUCUUCUUCCUCCUCCUCCUCCU